Molecule: ribosomal RNA, 439 nt
Filed under: uncultured Eubacteriales bacterium
Lineage: Bacteria; Bacillati; Bacillota; Clostridia; Eubacteriales
Description: bacterial SSU rRNA
Rfam family: Bacterial small subunit ribosomal RNA
Source: RNAcentral
CCUACGGGGGGCUGCAGUGGGGAAUAUUGCACAAUGGAGGAAACUCUGAUGCAGCGACGCCGCGUGAACGAUGAAGGUCUUCGGAUCGUAAAGUUCUGUCCUAGGGGACGAUAAUGACGGUACCCUAGGAGGAAGCCCCGGCUAACUACGUGCCAGCAGCCGCGGUAAUACGUAGGGGGCGAGCGUUGUCCGGAAUUAUUGGGCGUAAAGGGUUCGCAGGCGGUCUUUUAAGUCAGGUGUGAAAGGUCACGGCUCAACCGUGGUAAGCAUUUGAAACUGAAAGACUUGAGUUAAGGAGAGGAAAGUGGAAUUCCUAGUGUAGCGGUGAAAUGCGUAGAUAUUAGGAGGAAUACCAGUGGCGAAGGCGACUUUCUGGACUUAUACUGACGCUGAGGAACGAAAGCGUGGGGAGCAAACAGGAUUAGAUACCCGAGUAGUC